CCUCCAUUGACGCAUCUCGAGCUCUCUCUUCUCCUCUAUAGACGAUGCUUCUCGAGCUCUCUUCUCCUCCAUAGACGCUUGUCGAGCUCUCUCUUCUCCUCCAUAGACGACGCUUGUCGAGCUCUCUCUUCUCCUCCAUAGACGACGCUUCUCGAGCUCUCUCUUCUCCUCCAUUGACGACCCAUCUCGAGAUCUCUCUUCUCCUCCAUUGACGACCCAUCUCGAGCUCUCCCUCUCUCGAUCUCGGACACAAACCCAUCUCCGAGCUCUCUCUCGAUCUCUCUUCUCCGACGCAAACCGACGCAAACCCAUCUCGAGCUCUCUCUCUCUCGAUCUCUGACGCAAACCCAUCUCUGAGCUCUCUCUCGAUCUCUCUUCUCCGACGUAAACCGACGCAAACCCAUCUCAAGCUCUCUCCGUCACGACGCAUCUCGAGCUCUCUCCGUCUCGACGCAUCUCCGAGCUCUCUCUCGAUCUCUUCUCCGACACAGACCCAUCUCAAGCUCUCUCUUGAUCUCACAGGUCUCAGGCUCGCAAGCUCACUCUUCCUUUUCUCGAGCUAGACCAAACCCAUCUCUUCCUUUUCUCGUUGAGGCUCUCUCGUCUCAAGCUGACACUCUCAAGUUGAGACCCUCCAAAGUUCAAGAUGACAAAAGAUAACUGGCCUCCUGAGGAGACUAGAUACUUUUUCCAACUUUAUGCCGAAGAGAGAAGAAAGGGAAAUAGGACCAGUACGUCUAUGAAUAAAGUAGGGAAGGAGAACAUCAUGGUGGCGUUUGAAGACAGGUUUAAGAAAGGAUAUGAUUCUUGGCAGACUUUCAAGAACAAAUACGACACAAGUAGGAAGAAAUACACCAAGUUUAGGAAGUUAACUAAGAAUAGGACAGGGCUUGGGUUUGAUAACUUGGGAAGGAUCGAUAUGUCAGAUGAUUGGUAGAGUGAACGCGAAAAGAUACAAAAGCUCCCAAUAAAGAUGCGCGGACUUCCAGUCUGCACACUUUCACCCCACCCACCGUGGCAUGCAUGUUCAUAAUCACUACGAAAAAGAACGUGCGCGUUUUCAAUCUUCAGAAGAGAGAGCUGGCCAUCAAAAAGCUCGAGACCGGGUUGAGAGAGAUCUCAUCGAUGGCGAUUCAUCCCGGCGGCGAUAAUCUGAUCGUAGGAAGCAAAGAAGGGAAGAUGUGUUGGUUUGACAUGGACCUGUCCUCGAAACCGUACAAGACUCUCAAGAAUCAUCCUAAAGACAUUGUGAACGUGGCGUUUCACCGAUCGGAUCCGCUGUUCGCUUCUUGGUCGGAGGAUUCGACGGCUUAUGUGUUCCAUGGGAAGGUGUAUAGUGAUCUUAACGAGAAUCCUCUGAUCUGCCGUUGGAGAUUCUAAGAGGCCAUUCUACUUCUUCAAAUAGAGGAGUCUUGGACUGCAAGUUUCAUCCGAGGCAACCAUGGCUAUUCACUGCAGGCGCCGACUCGGGCUAAGCCCAAUUGGGCUUUGGAUUUUUUGGACUUAAACCCGUUUAGGCUAGGACCGGUCCGAAAACCCGAAACUCUAUACUUUAGCUUAAAUAUUAUCGUUCUUGCAAUCAAAACCAUUAUUAGUAUUGACUUAUAAUUUUAAUAUUUUAAUUCAAACUCUAAUAAAGCAAAUGUAAAAGUCGUUAAUGCAUUUAAUUGUUUGAUCA
Molecule: long non-coding RNA, 1678 nt
Organism: Brassica napus (rape)
Lineage: Eukaryota; Viridiplantae; Streptophyta; Magnoliopsida; Brassicales; Brassicaceae
Exons: 6
Source: RefSeq, a predicted model, not a curated record